AUGAGUCGGCCUGAUGGGAUCAACAUCCCCGACGGCAGGUUCUACCUUGGAGAUGCUGGCUAUGCAUGUCGGCCGGGUAUUCUUCCACCCUUCAGGAAAACCAGGUACCAUCUCAACGAGUUCUCUGGUAGGAACUUUCCUAGGACUGCACAUGAGCUGUUUAAUCUCAGACACUCCAGCCUUAGAGUAACUGUUGAGAGGGCAUUUGUAGCUCUGAAGAAUAGGUUUAAGAUCCUGGAUCAGAAGCCAUUCCACCCAUACUCCACUCAGGUUAAGCUAGUUCUUGCUUGUUGCAUUCUGCAUAACUGGAUCCUCCAGUGGGGCUUUGAUGAACAUGUGCCUGAGGAAGAGGUCGAGCCUGACGAUGUUGUUAGCUCUGGCCAUGGUGUGGAGGCAUUUGACAAUGAAGCUUGGAAGAACAAAAGGUUGGAGUGGGCAGAGGUGAUGUGGCUUAACAGAGGUCAGUGCAGGAUUUGA
RNAcentral lists this ribosomal RNA (477 nucleotides) under Triticum aestivum (bread wheat). Its description in RNAcentral is "partial small subunit ribosomal RNA". The record is from RNAcentral. Lineage: Eukaryota; Viridiplantae; Streptophyta; Magnoliopsida; Poales; Poaceae.